This 2132-nucleotide long non-coding RNA is filed under the name Homo sapiens (human). RNAcentral describes it as "non-protein coding lnc-CDH23-2:2". The record is from RNAcentral. Lineage: Eukaryota; Metazoa; Chordata; Mammalia; Primates; Hominidae.
UUUUUUGUGAACAUCACUGAAGCUCUGAAGCUUUGAGCAGCAGGAUUAGGUGUUGCUUUGUUCUGGUUUGUUGCUAAUAGUUGUGUAUGUUGAAGCUGUUGUUUCAAAAGACGACGCCCAGGUUCCAUUGCUCUAUCUGGGGGGGCUGUGGCCCCUCACAUUGGCGAUCUCCUGACAUGAAGAGUAAUUUAUAUUUUUUUCAGGUGUCUAGAAGGCUCCCAAAAGCCUAUUCCUUGGAAAACAGCAUGGCACGGGAAUCAGAGAGAGAAAGGAACCAGAUCAGACGAGGAGCUCUCUCUCAAGAGUCCUGCAGAAAGAACAGAACUUACCCCCAAGAUGUGGCAACCCUUGGAGCCGUGAAUCAGCCCUUUGCUUCUCUGCAGAAGCGCACUGGCUCAUUGGUGCCCUGCAGAGGCUGAUGAAACAGAAGCAGUCAGUAAUCCAGCCGGUGGCAGCAGUUCAUGCUCCCCACCGUCUCAGCCUAGUACACAUUCCCUCUCCUUGGCCGAAGAAUUAAAGAGGACACCUUGAAAGGGUUUCUGAACUCGAUACCUACCAAAAAGAAAAAGUUCUCCCUUCCCUUUGCAGGAGCCUGAAGUCUCCCCCUUGGUUUUUUCAUUGACUUUAGUGCUGCGGAUGAUUUGGGAUGUUGGUCUAGCUGGUGACUCAUCUCAACCACAAGUGUUUUAGAAAUGAGCAGCAUGGGCCGGGCAUGGUGGUUCAUGCCUGUAAUCCCAGCACUUUGGGAGGCCGAGGCAGGCGGGCCACCUGAGGUCAGGAGUUCGAGACCAGCCUGACCAACAUGUCGAAAUCCCGUCUCUACUGAAAAUACAAAAAUUAGCCGGGCAUGGUGGUGGGCACGCCUGUAAUCCCAGCUACUCGGGAGGCUGAGUCAGGAGAAUCACUUGAACCUGGGAGGUGGAUGUUGCAGUGAGCUGAGACCAUGCCAUUGGACUCCAGCCUGGGCAAAAAGGGCAAAACUCCGUCUCAAAAAGAAAAAAAGAAAGAAAAAGAAAAAGAAAUGGGCACCAUGCCUGCCUUAAAGUAAACCAGCAGUCUCUGAGCUCAGAGAUGGGGACCAUCUUGGAGCGAUCACCUUGCAGCUAUUGGGGAAGGAGUAGUGGGGGUCUCUCAUGCUCUGUUGUAGGGGAAUGGGCUUUCAAAGAAGUGGAGGUGGCAUCUCCAUUAGAGAGAUGAUUUGCAGUUAGUGUGGAGCACAGGGGGAGUUGGGGGGCCAGCCAUGGUGAUGGCAGGGCAUAGAGAUGAUAGACUAAGUUGCAUCCACUUUGCCAGGGGAGGAGAGGCCGCUCUGUUGGGAGGGGCUGGCGGCUUGGCUGUUGGGGAUCAUCCAGGCUUUUGCUCACUCUGCUUGGUUACUCACCUUAGUGGGCACUUCACAGAGGGUCAUUCCCUCCCAGGGAGGGAGGAAGGAAAAUAAAAAUCCAUCUCCAGGCAGAAGGGUGGAUGGGGGAGUUCAGACGUGCUUGUUCCCCCUCCGCCGUGAGAAGCAGUUCGUGGGCUUUGGCUGCUCUGGAUCUCAAGUCUCAUGUGAACCCAGCAGGCUUGGAACCAGCUCAUAUGUUUGGAGGGGUGAACAAAACUCACCAAAAAGGAGGGGAGUUUUCAAUGAGGGAGGUAGAGGGGGUGCCUUGAGAGGUUGUCUUUAUCUAAGAGUUCUCUGAUUUAAUUCCAAAUGGCAGUUUUUAGGGCACCAUACACAUGUUCAUUUUCCUUCUUUUUAAUUUUUAAUGUUUUGGUUUCUUUGAGACAAGGUCUCAGUUUGUCACCCAGGCUGGAGUGCAGUGGCAUGAUCACAGCUCACUGCAGCCUCGACCUCCUGGGCUCAAGCAAUCCUCACACCUCAGCCUCCCUAGGAGCUAGGACCAUGGGUGCCUGCCACCACACGUAGCUAAUUUUUAAAAAAUUUUUUAUAGAGGCAGAGUCUCACCAUGUUGCCUAGGCUGGUCUCUAACCACUCAAGCAAACACCGUGUUUGUGUUCUAGUGUUUUGUGAAAGGUAGAACUUGAGAGUGAUGAAAUCAGAUGUUUGGCUGAGGACAUUUCUAUGCAAUGUAUUGAAAGUGUGGCUUGGCUCCUCCUGACUGCUUAUAAUAAAAUGUGAGAGAGAAAUG